RNAcentral lists this ribosomal RNA (253 nucleotides) under uncultured bacterium. Its description in RNAcentral is "partial 16S ribosomal RNA". It matches the Rfam family "Bacterial small subunit ribosomal RNA", at positions 524 to 776 of the family's 1533-position model. The record is from RNAcentral.
UACGGAGGGUGCAAGCGUUAUCCGGAUUCACUGGGCUUAAAGGGUGCGUAGGCGGGCAGGUAAGUCAGUGGUGAAAUCUUCGAGCUUAACUCGGAAACUGCCGUUGAUACUAUCUGUCUUGAAUACCGUGGAGAUGAGCGGAAUAUGUCAUGUAGCGGUGAAAUGCUUAGAUAUGACAUAGAACACCAAUUGCGAAGGCAGCUCGUUGGACGAAUAUUGACGCUGAGGCACGAAAGCGUGGGGAUCAAACAGG